UCGCCCUACGGGACGCAGCAGUAGGGAAUCUUCCACAAUGGGCGAAAGCCUGAUGGAGCAACGCCGCGUGGGUGAAGAAGGUCUUCGGAUCGUAAAACCCUGUUGUUAGAGAAGAAAGUGCGUGAGAGUAACUGUUCACAUUUCGACGGUAUCUAACCAGAAAGCCACGGCUAACUACGUGCCAGCAGCCGCGGUAAUACGUAGGUGGCAAGCGUUAUCCGGAUUUAUUGGGCGUAAAGGGAACGCAGGCGGUCUUUUAAGUCUGUUGUGAACGACUUCGGCUUAACCGGGGUAGUGCAUUGGAA
RNAcentral lists this ribosomal RNA (305 nucleotides) under uncultured bacterium. RNAcentral describes it as "bacterial SSU rRNA". It matches the Rfam family "Bacterial small subunit ribosomal RNA", at positions 334 to 631 of the family's 1533-position model. The record is from RNAcentral.